Molecule: unclassified non-coding RNA, 2649 nt
Filed under: Leishmania donovani
Lineage: Eukaryota; Euglenozoa; Kinetoplastea; Trypanosomatida; Trypanosomatidae
Description: gene:LdHU3.36.6550(CDS-product:Esterase_PHB_depol ymerase/Prolyl_oligopeptidase_family_putative)
Source: RNAcentral
ACCUCCUAUUCACUAGACAUCUGGAGCGCGUGCGUGACGUUCACCUUUCUCUCAGCUCACAGUGGCGUUACCGUUUUUUUCUUUUACCCUUUCGACUUUUCUACUGUCAGCUCCCCCGUUCUGCUUUUACCCCAUGCCGGAAGGGGAGGUCGUCUUCGACGAUGCCUCCGUGGCGUCCUCUGAGAAAACACCAUUAAACAAGGACAUGCUCGACGCACCGCCUCGGAAAGACACUCGGUUGCGCGCAAAAUGGCUGAGAUGCGUCACGGUGGCCGGCGUCCUGCUUCUCAUCGCACCGCUCUAUCUCUGGAAGAACUUUCACGCGAUGCGCGCGGCAGGGGAGGACCCGAUUUCCGUGGUCACCCCGCUCAGCGACAACUUUGACAUCCACGAGCUAAUCCGCGAGUUGAACAACAACGGUGAGAAGAUCUACCUGUCAAGCCUCAUAUCUAAAGAGGCCGACGGCUGCGCACGGGAUGUGCCUGGGCUGCCCAGGGGAAAACAGACAGUAGUUACGUUCAAGACCAUUGAGAAUGCAGAGCGCGAGGCGGUGGUCUACGUGCCGAAGAGCUACCCCACGCCGGUGGGCGGCACGGCCCCGAAGCCGGUUGCCCUGCUGCUGCUCUUCCAUGGUCUGAAUGAUAACUGCAAGCACUUCAUGGACGCCACCGGCUUUGUGCCCUAUGCAGAACUCGACGGCUUCGUGCUUGUGAGUGUCUGUGGGUCUUUGGGGUACCUUGGCACAGGAUGGAACGCGGGCAUGUGCUGCGGCUUCCUUGAAGAAAAGCCCAACGACGUGGCGUUCGCAAAGCAGGUCGUGACAGAACUGUCGCAGAGCGUUUGCAUUGAUAAAACCCGCGUGAUGGCCGCCGGAUUCAGCAACGGUGCCAUGCUUGCGGAGGUGCUGGCGUGCGAUGCGCCCGAAAUGUUCCGCGCUGUCGCCUCCGUCAGCGGUGUUGUUGAGAUCCGACCUGGAAAUGAUGCUGCGCUUACAGCGUGCACGGCUGCCGUCGAAAAAGCCUCGUCGACCGUGCGCACGAGUGUGCUGAUGGUGCACGGUACCGCGGAUCUCUUGGUGCCGUGGGACGGUAACAAGCUCCUUGGAUUUCCAUCAAUCGUGAAGAACCUCGAGGGAUGGAGAGAGCGAAACGGGUGUACGGACGAGACGAACACCACCAUCUCUACCGAUACCUACGUCAACAUCAUCUACGCCAAUUGCAGCGUGGGGAAGCGUGCGGGGUCACUUCCGGCGUCCGAUGAGGAGCACGAGGAGUCGAAGACCUGUUUGGAGGAUGAUCCCUAUUGGGGCUUGAAUUCGGUGGCGAAUAAGACCGGGGAUGCACCGUCUGGUGUAGAGGAUGCAGCCCUGGUUGACAGAGAACGCUGUAUCUCACGCACGGAGGCUGAGUAUCUCAGCGUCAGGCGGGAGAGCAAGAGGCACGUGACCCGACUCAGGCAUGAGUGGCGUUCUCGCGAUCAACGUUGUCAGAAGCGGGACCGCACGAAGGUCGAGCACGCGAAGGCGCACGAGAAGCACGAUGAUAAGAAGGUCUACCAUACAAAGGACAGUAUCUGGAACCAACACGACGGCACGGAUUUCCAUCUGCGUCCGCACCUGCAUCUGAAGGAAAAACCGUCGCAGGAAGGCCUGCACAGGCACGUUGCUGUGAACCACCGUCGGCUGCGCCAUCUUCCCUUUGGCGCCGUUCCCAAGGAGAGUUGUGAGGUGCCGGUGCAGCGCGACGGCCCCCUGUGUCUGCAGGACGGCAUAAGUCAGGUGGAGCUUGUGCGCGUGAAAGGCGGCGGUCAUAGCUGGCCGCGCGACAUUGAUUUCUCGACGACGGACUACAUCUACAACUUCGGAAUUCGUGUCUUUGGCCGGUACAACUGAUGCGUGGUCACGGCCAUCGGUACCAGGGCUCGCCCCUCCCCCUUCUCUGUAUUUGCUUUCGCCUCUUCUUCUCUUGUCCGUAUGUUCCUUUGGCUUGUCUUCAUGUUUUUUUUUCUCUGUCUUCGACAUGCUGAAGAGGGAACUUCCCUUUUUUUCUUUGUCGUUCGAAGACGUGAAGUGCGUAUGAGUGAUGCCCCCUGCUCACUUCACGUUCCUACUCCUGUUCCCGUGUAUGCAUUCUCACGCCUCUUCCCCCCGCCUUGUCUCCGCGUUGCACGAGAGCGUAAUGGAACGGAGAAGAAAAAAUUGAAGGGGGUUCGAGAAUGACGGGAGGACACGACGAGCGUUGCACCGACGCGAAUGGGAAAAGGCGGACUGCAGAGACUGGAAUACGAAUGCGAAGGGCACCCCGCAUUUUUUUUUCCUCUAACCCCCUCCCUACUCUUUGAGACUCCCCCGUAUAUUGUAGCGCGUUUCCUUUUGCUACUUGCUUCACGCGAGUUCACAACGAUGCAGCUAUCGACACAAGGCAUGGUGCUCCUUGUCAGUUCUUGCUCUUCUACGAUGUUUUUUUGUCUCCGAUAUAUCUAUGCUGAUAUAUUUCUUCUGCCCUCCCCCCUUCUUCAUGCUCGUCUGCAACCACUACCACCUCCGGUGCGCCCCUUUUUCGCUGCAAUUUUUUUUCCUGUUUCUAUCAACGUGGCUCUUUAUGCCAUCAUUGCUUGACACGUUACAGACUUUUAUCGUGGGGCGACAAC